Molecule: ribosomal RNA, 253 nt
Filed under: uncultured bacterium
Lineage: Bacteria
Description: partial 16S ribosomal RNA
Rfam family: Bacterial small subunit ribosomal RNA
Source: RNAcentral
UACGUAGGCAGCGAGCGUUGUUCGGAUUUACUGGGCGUAAAGGGUGUGUAGGCGGCUCUCUAAGUUUGGUGUGAAAUCUCCCGGCUCAACCGGGAGGGUGCGCCGAAAACUGGAGGGCUGGAGUGCGGGAAGGGAGAGUAGAAUUCCUGGUGUAGCGGUGAAAUGCGUAGAUAUCAGGAGGAAUACCGGUGGUGCAGGCGGCUCUCUGGACCGCGACUGACGCUGAGACACGAAAGCGUGGGUAGCAAACAGG